UACAGGGGGUGCAAACGUUGCUCGGAAUCAUUGGGCGUAAAGCGCACGUAGGCGGUUCGUUAUGUCGGAUGUGAAAGCCCUUGGCUUAACCGAGGAAGUGCAUCCGAAACUGGCGAGCUAGAGUACGAAAGAGGAUCGCGGAAUUCCCGGUGUAGAGGUGAAAUUCGUAGAUAUCGGGAGGAACACCGGUGGCGAAGGCGGGACUCUGGGCCGAUACUGACGCUGAGGAGCGAAAGCAUGGGGAGCGAACAGG
Molecule: ribosomal RNA, 253 nt
Filed under: uncultured bacterium
Lineage: Bacteria
Description: partial 16S ribosomal RNA
Rfam family: Bacterial small subunit ribosomal RNA
Source: RNAcentral